GAUGAACGCUGGCGGCGUGCCUAAUACAUGCAAGUCGAGCGAACAGAUGAGGAGCUUGCUCCUCCGACGUUAGCGGCGGACGGGUGAGUAACACGUGGAUAACCUACCUAUAAGACUGGGAUAACUUCGGGAAACCGGAGCUAAUACCGGAUAAUAUAUUGAACCGCAUGGUUCAAUAGUGAAAGACGGUUUUGCUGUCACUUAUAGAUGGAUCCGCGCCGCAUUAGCUAGUUGGUAAGGUAACGGCUUACCAAGGCGACGAUGCGUAGCCGACCUGAGAGGGUGAUCGGCCACACUGGAACUGAGACACGGUCCAGACUCCUACGGGAGGCAGCAGUAGGGAAUCUUCCGCAAAGGGCGAAAGCCUGACGGAGCAACGCCGCGUGAGUGAUGAAGGUCUUCGGAUCGUAAAACUCUGUUAUUAGGGAAGAACAAAUGUGUAAGUAACUAUGCACGUCUUGACGGUACCUAAUCAGAAAGCCACGGCUAACUACGUG
Molecule: ribosomal RNA, 497 nt
Filed under: uncultured bacterium
Lineage: Bacteria
Description: partial 16S ribosomal RNA
Rfam family: Bacterial small subunit ribosomal RNA
Source: RNAcentral